CUGUGACCGUGGCGGUGUAGGUGGAAGCAGCGGUGGAGGAGGAGGAUGAGGUAGCCAACACUGUUUUUUAUAUAUAUAUAUAUAUAUAUAUUUUUAUUUUUUUUCAAUUGGGGUAGCACCAAAAUAUUGGGACAUAAAAAAAAAGACAACUCUGUUCUGCAGAGUAGCUGUUGACAUUAUAGUUGCGCAGGCACUUUGUUGUCUCUAGAGAACCUCUGGCCAAUCGCACAUCCCCGUGAUGGCGACUUUGCAUUCAGAUGUCAUCCAUAUCAACUUUCGAUGCCAGUUUCUGUGCCUACCAUGGUGACCACAGGUAAUGGGGAAUCAUGGUUCCAUUCCAUACAGGGACCCUGAAAAACAGCUACCACAUGCAAGGAAGGCAGCAGGCACGCAAAUGACCCACUCCCGACGCUGGAAGUUAGUGACGACAAAUAACAAUACAGGACUCUCUAGAGGCCCUGUAAUUGUAAUGAGUCCACUUGAAAUUCUUUAACUCUGAUCAAUUGGAGGGAAGUCUGGUGCAGAGCCACUGACCCAUGCGUGCUGCAGCUGAAACUCCACU
This 562-nucleotide ribosomal RNA is filed under the name Pelobates cultripes (western spadefoot toad). RNAcentral's name for it is "SSU_rRNA_eukarya". It matches the Rfam family "Eukaryotic small subunit ribosomal RNA", at positions 107 to 590 of the family's 1831-position model. The record is from RNAcentral. Lineage: Eukaryota; Metazoa; Chordata; Amphibia; Anura; Pelobatidae.